UUGUCCUACGGGACGCAGCAGUGAGGAAUAUUGGUCAAUGGGCGGGAGCCUGAACCAGCCAAGUCGCGUGAGGGAAGACGGUCCUAUGGAUUGUAAACCUCUUUAGGCGGGGAGCAAUGCCGGGCACGCGUGCCCGGAGGGAGAGUACCCGCAGAAUAAGCAUCGGCUAACUCCGUGCCAGCAGCCGCGGUAAUACGGAGGAUGCGAGCGUUAUCCGGAUUUAUUGGGUUUAAAGGGUGCGCAGGCGGACCAUCAAGUCAGCGGUAAAAUCGUGGGGCCCAACCCCAUCCCGCCGUUGAAACUGG
RNAcentral lists this ribosomal RNA (305 nucleotides) under uncultured bacterium. Its description in RNAcentral is "bacterial SSU rRNA". It matches the Rfam family "Bacterial small subunit ribosomal RNA", at positions 334 to 636 of the family's 1533-position model. The record is from RNAcentral.